Molecule: long non-coding RNA, 930 nt
Organism: Pseudophryne corroboree (corroboree frog)
Lineage: Eukaryota; Metazoa; Chordata; Amphibia; Anura; Myobatrachidae
Exons: 4
Source: RefSeq, a predicted model, not a curated record
UCUAUGACAACAGGGCGAUGUGUCAUCUGGUGCGCCGUGUUGCGCGCUUGACGCGAUCACAUCAUCGCUUGGAGCCGCCGGGCCAGGUGCGUGGUCCCGCUACCGGAAUGGCGCCAUUCACUGAUGGGUGUGGGGAUAUAAGUUAUGCAUUUGAACACCCCUGCAUGUAUUGGGAUGAAACCAGUUAGAUCCUGCCCAGGUUUAAGGAGGAAGGGUUAGGGUCCCAGUUGGACCUCACAGCAAAAUGCACCGGGCACAACUUUGACCCAGGGAGCCUGUUCUGGAGCUUCCACUGGAUGGAUUUGGAAGAAAACUUCACAGAAUGGAGACAUUGCAUCCUAGAAGACAUACUGUACUAGGGGGUUCGGUUUGGUCGGAUGUGCCAUUGGUGUACGCUGGUGUCGCACAUUCCAAUAAAAUCUAAUCUUAGUUGACGUGUGAUUGCACAGGGAGAUAGAUGUGCGCAAACGUCAAAAAGAUUUUUCUUCAAAAUGGUUCGUGAGGAACGUGAAUGGCAACGUAUUUUAUAUAUUUUAGAGGAAUCUGAUUCAGCACAAAGUGACCAUUCGACAGAAAGUGAGGUAAAUGAAGAUCACAUUAGUAUACGCAGCCAGCAGAGUGACACAGAGCAGGAGGCUUCUGACAGCGAUGAUGAUAAUAUACCUCUGAGCGCACUACAGCAUCAAAUAAGUUCCUCAGUAUCUAGUCAUCCUCAGCAAGAUUCUUCAAGCACAAACACCCGCCAGACUUCAGAAAUCCAGGCAUGAACAUCACAAUAUGUUGGCAAAGACGGGACUGAGUGGCAAAAGCAACCUUUUCGACAGAAUGUACGUACCCGGCUGGAAAAUAUAAUUACACAGGUGCCAGGAGUACGGCCACAAGCAAAAUCUGCUACAUCAGAAAUAGAUUGCUGGAGCCUUUUUUUUUUUU